This 662-nucleotide ribosomal RNA is filed under the name Bacillus sp. NBRA12. RNAcentral's name for it is "partial 16S ribosomal RNA". It matches the Rfam family "Bacterial small subunit ribosomal RNA", at positions 81 to 721 of the family's 1533-position model. Lineage: Bacteria; Bacillati; Bacillota; Bacilli; Caryophanales; Bacillaceae. The record is from RNAcentral.
UAGGGUGUAUGCAGCCCUCGACGCGGGGAGUUAACAUUUAGGGUAACCCCGCCUGCAAGACUGGGAUAACUCCGGCAAACCGGGGCUAAUACCGGAUGGUGUUUGAACCGCAUGGUUCAAACAUAAAAGGGGGCUUCGGCUACCACUUACAGAGGGACCCGCGGGGCAUUAGCUAUAUGGGGAGGGAACGGGUCACCACGGGGACGAUGCGCAUCCGACCUGAGAGGGGGAUCGCCCACACUGUGACAGAGACACGCGCCACACUCCUACGGGAGGCGCCAGUAGGGAAUCUUCCGCAAUGGACAAAAGUCUGAGAGAGAAACGCCGCGUGAGAGAGGAAGGUUUUCGGAUCGCAAAGCUCUGUUGUUAGGGAAAAAAACGUACCGUUCGAAUAGGGCGGGACCUCGAUGUUUUUUUUUCCACAAAGCCACGGGUAUGGGGGGGGGGGAGCACCACCCGCCCCCACGUAUGUGGGAAGCGUUGUCCGGAAUUAUUGGGCGCAAAGGGCUCGCAGGCGGGUUCUUAAGUCUGAUGUGAAAGACCCCGCCUCUCCCGCGUAGGGUCCUCGUAUACUGUGGAACUUUAGAGCAGCAGAAGAAGAGAGUACAUCCCCGUGUACGCGGAAAUGCGCAUAGAUGGUGUAGGAACACCACUGGCGGAAG